AUAGAUUAAUGAAAUUAGGAUUUUCAAUUAAAGAAUAUGAAAAUGAAGAAUUUAAAAAGAGGAAAAUAAUUUAAAAUAAAAGAAUAAUUUGAGUGUUAAUGUUUAAGGAAGAAUAAGAGAUUUUCAGUUUAGAGUUUUACUUUUAAACAUUUUUAAUGUCUUAACAGAGGUAAAAUUGAAUAUCGUACCAUAACAGUGAUGUAAUGGCUUGUAAUCUGCAGUUGCGUGCAGCUUUGACUUUUUUUGUUAUGGAGCUCCAAAAUCCCUUUAUGUAACAGCUAUUACAUAAUGUAGUGGCCGUUUUUUAAACUCAUGGUUGUCAGUCUUGAUUGCACAGAGCCAAAGCUUUCUGGUUAAUUCUGGUUGAUGGCUUCAAGUUUAAUAUAUAAUGUCAUGAGAACUAAUUUGUUUACAUUAGAAACACCUUGCAUUGUAUCCUCUUGUUUAGAGAUUGAAAAACUUGGGCAAGUGAUUGAAUGUUUCCUCUUGGUUAAGUCUAAGCUUUGUUAUAUGUCUUUUCUCUUUUGGUGGUAAUAAAAGCUUACUUACCAAAAAAACAAAAAAAGAAUGUUACAGAUUACUUGACAAAAGCUAUGAUAUGGAUAAAUUAAAACAUAGAAAAUGAUACAUUGUUUAUUUUUCAGAUUUAAAAAUUCAAGUAUUGUCAUGUUGACAAAAAUUCAAAACCUAUUGCAUAUUUUUGCGUGUCAUUUGUUAUUCUCCAAUCAUGAAACACUAAGUUCUCUGUUUUGUUUACACAUGCAUGUCUAUUACUUAUUAUUUUUUUAUACAUGAUUAGGUUCAUGUAUGCCUGUUAUAUCUUAUCUUUUAUGGAUUUGUUUUAUCUUAGCAUCUUUUGUUUUAGUAUGGCUGAAAAAAUAUGAUAUAUAUAUAUUGUACCUGUAUCUGCGCCUGCGUCUGCACCUGCACCUGCUGCUGCUCCUACCUCUACAGUUACUGCCAUACCAGAGUCUAAUGUCUAUGGUCAAGCGGCAUCGAAUUUGGUUGCUGGAAGUAACCUUGAUGGAGCGGUCCGGCAAAUUCUUGAUAUGGGUGGAGGGACUUGGGAUAGGGAUACUGUUGUUCGAGCUCUUCGUGCUGCUUACAACCCAGAGAGAGCUGUUGAAUAUUUAUAUUCUGUCAGCGUCUUUACUUGUAUUUGAUCUCUUUUGUGAAUUUAUUUUUCAAAUGGGAAGUGCAGAAGCAUGACGAAAAUUUUUGUUUUUGAUUUACGUUAUUUAGAUUUGUGAACAACAUUAUGUAUUGGAUAAUUUUGUUGAUGUAUUGUUAUGAAUGGAAGAAUAUUUUAAUUAUGGAUGAA
This is a long non-coding RNA of Camellia sinensis, 1321 nucleotides long. RefSeq lists it as uncharacterized. Lineage: Eukaryota; Viridiplantae; Streptophyta; Magnoliopsida; Ericales; Theaceae. The record is from RefSeq and is a predicted model, not a curated record.